GCGGGAAUAGCUCAGUGGGUAGAGCACAACCUUGCCAAGGUUGGGGUCGCCUCAGAGUUAAAGAGUGAGUCUCGUUUCCCGCUCCG
Molecule: transfer RNA, 86 nt
Filed under: Endozoicomonas numazuensis
Lineage: Bacteria; Pseudomonadati; Pseudomonadota; Gammaproteobacteria; Oceanospirillales; Endozoicomonadaceae
Description: tRNA-Gly
Rfam family: tRNA
About the family: Transfer RNA (tRNA) molecules are approximately 80 nucleotides in length.
Source: RNAcentral